UGGGGAAUUGUUCGCAAUGGGCGCAAGCCUGACGACGCAACGCCGCGUGGAGGAUGAAGGUCUUCGGAUUGUAAACUCCUGUUGAUCGGGACGAAAAGCUUCAACCUAAUACGUUGAAGACUGACGGUACCGGUUGAGGAAGCCACGGCUAACUCUGUGCCAGCAGCCGCGGUAAUACAGAGGUGGCAAGCGUUGUUCGGAAUUACUGGGCGUAAAGGGCGCGUAGGCGGCCUUCUAAGUCGGACGUGAA
Molecule: ribosomal RNA, 250 nt
Filed under: uncultured bacterium
Lineage: Bacteria
Description: partial 16S ribosomal RNA
Rfam family: Bacterial small subunit ribosomal RNA
Source: RNAcentral